Molecule: long non-coding RNA, 553 nt
Filed under: Cyanistes caeruleus (blue tit)
Lineage: Eukaryota; Metazoa; Chordata; Aves; Passeriformes; Paridae
Description: lncRNA (ENSCCEG00000007872.1)
Source: RNAcentral
CAAAAGUGUCAUUAGAUAUUUGCAGUGCUGAGGCUUUGUGUGGGCAGGAGAUCUGGCUUUGAGCUGUUUCAGACCCUCAGUACUAACCAGACUCUAAAAAGGCAGGCACUCACCUUCAGGCAGAGAUAACAAAUGCAACUUUGCACCAAAGUGGACAUAAAGAGACUCUAGAGGUAUCUUGUGGGAUUUACACUUGGAUAUGGAGCUACAUGGUAGUGCACAGGCAAUCUGUAACUCCACAAUCUGCCAGACAUCUGAUCCCAAUAAAUCCGUCUCUCAAAAGAUGGUACUUCAGAAUUGAUAAAUAUUUAUUGGAGACAUCUCUGAAGACACCCAAAGGUACAGGCCUAAACAACCAAUACUGAGGAGACAACACACGAAAGAGGGUUUUUUUCAGAUAAAUCAAUGUAAUCAGGCUGAAGAAACUGUGGAGCUGGUCUCAAAUAUAAGCAGGGAUAAUACUGGCUUUUCAAUGCUUUCACAAGUACUCUGAAGGCUUUUUUCAGAAAAUGAUUUUCUUAUGCAUAAAUAAACAGCCUCUCUCCAACUAGCA